AUGAUAGCACUCCAAAUAGGCACCAAGUGUGGCACACUAAGUAAAACACCGUUUCAGCUUCAAAAAAUCCCACGCCUAAAAUCAAACACUAACACCAAUUUUUGUUUUCAUAGUCAAACAAGUGCCCAACAUCAUGACAAUACUUUUUUCUACAGGCACCACGAGGAGACAAGAUUGAGGAAGAACUCUCCAAUUUCCCCACAAAUGCAAAUUCCCAAACGAGCAUCUACAUCAAUUCAAACACCUAAUGAAUCAACCGAGGAAAGUCCUUUAAGAUAA
This is a non-coding RNA of Vicia faba (fava bean), 279 nucleotides long. Lineage: Eukaryota; Viridiplantae; Streptophyta; Magnoliopsida; Fabales; Fabaceae. The record is from the annotation of a GenBank genome assembly.